CUGACAUGUGUGCGAGUCAAUGGGUGAGUAAACCCGUAGGGCGCAGGGAAGCUGAUUGGCUGGAUCCCUCACGGGUGCACACCCGACCGACCUUGAUCUUCUGAGAAGGGUUCGAGUGUGAGCAUGCCUGUCAGGACCCGAAAGAUGGUGAACUAUGCCUGAGAGAGGUGAAGCCAGAGGAAACUCUGGUGGAGGCCCGCAGCGAUACUAACGUGUAAAUCGUUCGUCUGACUUGGGUAUAGGGGCGAAAGACUAAUUGAACCAUCUAGUAUCUGG
This 276-nucleotide non-coding RNA is filed under the name Brassica napus (rape). RNAcentral's name for it is "rRNA LSU_rRNA_eukarya". It matches the Rfam family "Eukaryotic large subunit ribosomal RNA", at positions 675 to 954 of the family's 3401-position model. Lineage: Eukaryota; Viridiplantae; Streptophyta; Magnoliopsida; Brassicales; Brassicaceae. RNAcentral also lists the same sequence under 1 other name. The record is from Rfam by way of RNAcentral.